UCGUCAUGGCAGGAUCAACCUCGUGUGACCCCAUCAGCAUCAUCUACCUGAGUGUUGUUGAUCCUCCAGGUCAGACAGGAGGACACACAGAGGAUGGAGGGAAGGAGGAUGGAUCUGUUGGACUGAAAGUUGGUCUUCCAGUUGCUGUUAUUGUUGCUGCUGCUGUUGGAUUUGUUAUCUACAUUAAAUGCAAAUAAUGGGAUUGAUACUAUUCUGCAAACUGCCAAUUUGAUAAAACGUUUCAAACGUCUGUUAAGCUGAGCCAAAUCUCCUGCUGUUCUAGUUUCAAGUGUUGUCACUGAACACGUGGACAGAUGACAGGCAGCAGUUUAGAUCCUGAACUGAAGAUGUUUAACAAAAAUACUCCACUCUACUGCCUUUAGAAA
This is a long non-coding RNA of Oreochromis niloticus (Nile tilapia), 386 nucleotides long. RefSeq lists it as uncharacterized. The record is from RefSeq and is a predicted model, not a curated record. NCBI's taxonomy places the organism in Eukaryota, Metazoa, Chordata, Actinopteri, Cichliformes, Cichlidae. The transcript is spliced from 2 exons.